UUUUAGCAAAGGAGUCAAAAGCUGGAAAAUAGCAAAAAGCUACUGCCCAUAAUUUUGUAAGGGCUGUUUCGGCCACUUAAUUUGUGAGAAAAAUUCCAGCCUUUUGGGACAUGAAAGUAUACGGUAUAAGGUACCUCCUGUCCAAAAAUGAGCUCAUUCCGACUUAAAAUGAGCAAGUUAUAACCAUUUCAAUAUUUAGGUUUUUC
Molecule: long non-coding RNA, 206 nt
Filed under: Panax ginseng (ginseng)
Lineage: Eukaryota; Viridiplantae; Streptophyta; Magnoliopsida; Apiales; Araliaceae
Description: long non-coding RNA (PGIN_LNC010568)
Source: RNAcentral